AGUGAACGCUGGCGGCAGGCCUAACACAUGCAAGUCGAGCGGCAGCGGGUUCCCGCGAGGGGAUGCCGGCGAGCGGCGGACGGGUGAGGAACACAUCGGAAUCUGCCUGGUUGUGGGGGAUAACGUAGGGAAACUUACGCUAAUACCGCAUGAGACCCUGAGUCGACGGACUGGGGGUGAAAGUGAGGGACCUUCGGGCCUCACGCGACCAGAUGAGCCGAUGUCGGAUUAGCUAGUUGGCGGGGUAACGGCCCGCCAAGGCGACGAUCCGUAGCUGGUCUGAGAGGAUGAUCAGCCACACUGGGACUGAGACACGGCCCAGACUCCUACGGGAGGCAGCAGUGGGAAUCUUGGACAAUGGGCGCAAGCCUGAUCCAGCCAUGCCGCGUGGGUGAC
Molecule: ribosomal RNA, 396 nt
Filed under: uncultured bacterium
Lineage: Bacteria
Description: bacterial SSU rRNA
Rfam family: Bacterial small subunit ribosomal RNA
Source: RNAcentral